UGGAGUGGAGGAAUCUGAAGGAGCGACUCAGAGAGCGGAUGAAGACAGCUUGUCUACAGAGAGCCUUGACUGUGCAUCGCAUGACUCCAGCUCCCAGUGCAACCAGUCUCUGUCCCCCCGUCCCCACACCGACGGCUCAAACCCUGCCAGCUGGAGCCGCCAUCUCAUCCAGCAGACUCUAAUGGACGAAGGCCUGCGAUUGGCUCGUAUGGUGUCACACGAUCGGGCGGGGAAGCUCUGCCUGGGGCCGGAGGGAACCCACUCAGCAGACCGUGACAUCAAGGUGGAGCGGCCGAUCUCGAUAACCGUGUGCAGGAGCAGUAGCCCUUGUGUUGCCAAAGAGCCAACCAUCACCUCCAACCACAGAGGAAAGUGAAACCUGCCGUCCAUCCAGGAGAGCGGCGCUCAGAGAGGGGACUCAAAAACGAGCUGUAAAUCUGAGACUUUGCAAUCAUCUGACUAAACAGGCCUGUCAUGACUUGUAAACACAAUCAGCUGUAAAAUGACGAUCUCAAAAGAGGUUCUGUUUUUAUAUAUAUAUCAGUUGGAUGGAAGGGAACCCGUCUUUGUUUUAGUGUCCUGCAGAGCUUAGCUGUAUUCUGUCAGGGAAAGUGUUUUAUGUUACUGCGAGUGCCGCUGCGUGCAGGAGGAUCCACCUGCCACGGAUGAAACACGUUUGCGCAGCAGGGGGCACUGCGACUUUGGUAGAAGUUCCUCCACACUGAGCAACACUGCAGAGGAAAUGGGUGUUUAGCAGAGACCUUUCUUUUUGCAAGUUACAACAUAAUGCUCUGGAGCUCGUCACCUCAGGAAACCACUGGAUGCUUUGUUUAGGACAGAGGUCAGCAUCGUGCAAGUCAAACUAACUCUCUAAUAGUACUUUGCAAGAAUGCUCAUAUUCCAGAACAUUUUAGCGUUUGUUACUUUAUAAUGGCAAGCUCCAAUUUCUUUUAUUUUUUCUGUUUUCUUUUUUUCAUAUAUAUAUCCACAAAAAGAUAGCACAGGUCCAUGUUAUCCUGUAAAUAGGGCCUUUUAAUGGUGCCCCACACAAAGCUGGCAACAGAAGGAGGGCGAACCUUUUCCCCAGAAGCGCCCCCAGACUGAUGGACUAUGUCGUUUCCUUUUUUAUUUCAAAGCCAGUUAAAUCUGUCUUUUUCAAUCAGGUUUUAAUUAAUUUGUUUAAUGGGUCUAUUGUCAAAAACUUUAUUUUCAUCUUGAGAACUAAAAAAUAAAGUUUUACUUCCUUAGCUACUUAUUUAGAAGGAAAGUAUUACAUGAUGUUUUUACAAAUUAAAUCCUAAAACACUCUGCUGCGCAGUUGGUGGCACAGAAUUUUUUUUUUUUUUAUGGUACCCGAGUAAUGGAAGUUCAUGCAUACUUGUAAUUCAUUUCUAUUUGUAAGGAACUUUAAAAGUCUUCUAUGUUUUUCCUUUCGCUUCACAAUCACGCGCCACGUUAUCACAUAAAAUGCGCUGAAGCUUGCGGUUGUAACGUAUCAGAAUGUGAAGAUGUUUAAAGGGGAUGCAUACUUUUGUCGAGGCUAAAAAGAGUUUCUUAUUUAGGAGGUGUUGAGUUGGAUUUUAAAAAGCGUGUGGAUUAGACUAGACAAUCAUUCAGAUUUGAAUUGUGUGUGUGUUAUACUCAUUACUUUCUGUUGCACAAAUGGUCGACAUGGUGUUUUGACAAAUCCCUUGAAUUUUACCUUGCCCAACAUGAUGAAAAUGUUUGUUUUCUUAAUCGAGUUGCUAAAACUAUAACCCCCUGGACCGGCAUUGUCAAGCUCAACGGUGGGGGGGGUUUCACUCCGACUUUGGCUUUUGUCCCAUUUAGAGUAUAUUGUGGUCCACUAAAGGUAACGUUGUACAGUUGUUGAGAACACUGCGUUUAAAACUACAUUGAAAGCCUCUUAAUUUAAAAAGCUGUUUGACGCAACUCUUCAGGGUGAUCUUACAGCCAAUUAGUCGUGGCUUUAAGAUUUUUCUGCCGUCUUAGACAAAAAAAAAA
Fundulus heteroclitus (mummichog) is the source of this 2004-nucleotide long non-coding RNA. RefSeq lists it as uncharacterized. The record is from RefSeq and is a predicted model, not a curated record. NCBI's taxonomy places the organism in Eukaryota, Metazoa, Chordata, Actinopteri, Cyprinodontiformes, Fundulidae. The transcript has 3 exons.